Anas platyrhynchos (mallard) is the source of this 651-nucleotide long non-coding RNA. RefSeq lists it as uncharacterized. The record is from RefSeq and is a predicted model, not a curated record. Lineage: Eukaryota; Metazoa; Chordata; Aves; Anseriformes; Anatidae.
UCGUAAAAAGUGAAGGCAUCUGUUCCCAAAUCCAGCCACGUUUGUAGGAUUUAGACGUGACAGAGAAAUCCAAUUCGUUUCAAGAGAGAUCUGCGAGGUGACUGGGGAGACCGCAGCCCCCAUCCCUUUUUCCACCUCUAUCCCCUUCCCAAACCCAUCCCCGCUUCCGUCCCCAUCCUGCCCCACUUUGUCUUCCAGGUGAAGCCCCCCCCCGCUGAGGGCUGCUCCCCGUUUUUGCGGGGAGCACCGUGCCGGGGCUCCCUCCCCGCUCCGCUCCCGCAGCGCCGGGACCAGCGCGGAGCCGGGGCCGGGGCCGGUACCGGGGGUGCGGCUUCGAGCCCCACCUGCGGAGCAGACGUGAGGCACGGGGAGCGCAUCCGAGGGCAUUUCUCCUUCCCUCCCGCCCGAAGCCGGCUGCGCUCGUCACCUCGUCUUCAACGAGUUUGGGGUCCGAGGGCUAAUCCUGCGCAGCGCAGGGAUUUCAUCAGAGUGACAUUGGGCUAGCAACCUACAGCAGAUCCAACACUUCCUGAAGGAGUAUGAGCUCCCAGAGUCUUCAGAGAGUGGAAGUAAGUACUAAUUCCAGCUUACCUUGAGGUCUGAAAUGAUUGCCACUCUGCAAAGACAUUAUUUAUUUAUUUAUUUAUUUAU